This 492-nucleotide ribosomal RNA is filed under the name uncultured bacterium. RNAcentral's name for it is "partial 16S ribosomal RNA". It matches the Rfam family "Bacterial small subunit ribosomal RNA", at positions 29 to 507 of the family's 1533-position model. The record is from RNAcentral.
AGUGAACGCUAGCGGUAGGCCUAACACAUGCAAGUCGAACGGCAGCACAGUAAGAGCUUGCUCUUACGGGUGGCGAGUGGCGGACGGGUGAGGAAUACAUCGGAAUCUACUUUUUCGUGGGGGAUAACGUAGGGAAACUUACGCUAAUACCGCAUACGACCUACGGGUGAAAGCAGGGGAUCUUCGGACCUUGCGCGAUUGAAUGAGCCGAUGUCGGAUUAGCUAGUUGGCGGGGUAAAGGCCCACCAAGGCGACGAUCCGUAGCUGGUCUGAGAGGAUGAUCAGCCACACUGGAACUGAGACACGGUCCAGACUCCUACGGGAGGCAGCAGUGGGGAAUAUUGGACAAUGGGCGCAAGCCUGAUCCAGCCAUACCGCGUGGGUGAAGAAGGCCUUCGGGCUGUAAAGCCCUUUUGUUGGGAAAGAAAAGCAGCAGGUUAAUACCCCGCUGUUCUGACGGUACCCAAAGAAUAAGCACCGGCUAACUUCGUG